UAGAGUCAUAGAAUAUAAUUCGAUUUUUAAUGAAAACAACACAAGAAACACAAAAACAUUGAUGAAUAACAAUCAACAUAACAAAAGCAUAAAGCAUUGAACAUAGAGAAACAUCAAGAACAAAACAUAUUGUUAAUGAGAAACGAAAAUUACAAAAAUGUAUCGAACAAACGCGCAAUCGGAGUCACCACGGCCUGUCACCAACGUGAUGUGCGCUCCAAAAGCAUGGAAACCAAAACCCUAAGCUAAAAAGUGAAAAAUUGUAUUCUCUGAGAGUGUGUUUAAGAGUCUAUUUACAUUACAAAAGCCCCUUUAUAUAAGGUGGAAAUAGAAAAGAGAAGAAGAAAGAGGGAAAAGAGGAAACUUGCUCAUGACACUUUAAUCUUCUCUUCAUAGGACGAUCAAUAGUUGCUUCCUUUCCAAGCCCUCCGAUCAUCUCCACGUCAUCUUUUCUGGUUAGCUCCGGUCAGGGGCGCGAGCUUCUUCUUCCUCUCUCGUCUCACUUCGCAUUCUCUCUUUUGCUUCUUUUCUUGAUCAAGCCCUAACCUUUUGUUCUUUUCUGUAGAAUGAAUUUUCGAAAGCCUUUGCCAAAUGACAACAAGGGAAAGAGACCCCUCACAGUAGUAACGCCCAAAACGGCAUCGUCAAACUAAAGUACAGCCCAAUUCAAGCGGCCCAAUUGUUCUUCAAAUCAGCACCUUCUCAUGUCUUCUUUUCAGCAUCAGAGGCCUACAGAUCAAUGUUUCUCCAUUUGCAGCCUCAGCACAUCCAAUCUAAUUGAAGGUAGCAGCGGCCCACUUCAUUGCAUCAGAUUUGAUGUUAGCCUAAUCUUCC
RNAcentral lists this long non-coding RNA (834 nucleotides) under Vigna radiata. RNAcentral describes it as "long non-coding RNA (VRAD_LNC005620)". Lineage: Eukaryota; Viridiplantae; Streptophyta; Magnoliopsida; Fabales; Fabaceae. The record is from RNAcentral.